RNAcentral lists this ribosomal RNA (439 nucleotides) under uncultured bacterium. RNAcentral describes it as "partial 16S ribosomal RNA". It matches the Rfam family "Bacterial small subunit ribosomal RNA", at positions 339 to 795 of the family's 1533-position model. The record is from RNAcentral.
CUACGGGAUGCUCCAGUGGGGAAUAUUGCACAAUGGAGGAAACUCUGAUGCAGCAACGCCGCGUGGAGGAUGACGCUUUUCGGAGCGUAAACUCCUUUUAUAUAGGAAGAAGAUGACGGUACUAUAUGAAUAAGCGCCGGCUAACUCCGUGCCAGCAGCCGCGGUAAUACGGAGGGCGCAAGCGUUACUCGGAAUCACUGGGCGUAAAGAGCGUGUAGGCGGAUUAAAAAGUCAGAAGUGAAAUCCUAUAGCUUAACUAUAGAACUGCUUCUGAAACUCUUAAUCUAGAAUAUGGGAGAGGUAGAUGGAAUUUCUGGUGUAGGGGUAAAAUCCGUAGAGAUCAGAAGGAAUACCGAUUGCGAAGGCGAUCUACUAGAACAUUAUUGACGCUGAGACGCGAAAGCGUGGGGAGCAAACAGGGUUAGAUACCCGCGUAGUC